UGUCACUCAAACACCCACUCUUCCGUAUGUGUUGUAAGUGAAGCCAGAUAUGCUGCAGCGUAGAGUCAGCAUGAGAAGCAGACACCCGAGGAGAGAUAUCAUUUUGAAGGACAUGGCAUUUAUGAGUUGAGAUUAUUACUAAAUGUAAUGAGGAAGACGGGCAAAUACGAGGCCACAACAGAAUAAGGCUCUGCACUGAAGCAGACCUGAUGCUUGCCAAAAAUAUGUUAGGAAAGAUAUCUCCUCAACACCAGCUUGAGAUAGACACCUGUCACGCUAUCAGCCUGAGAUAAGAUGUGCUGACACGGACUGAGAUAAACAUGUUAGAGACACACUCGAAAUGGCCCAUAAAACCGAGGCCUUUCUGAACAUUCAUUGGAACCAACACUCGCUGCCGGAGGGUCCCACAAUUGGGACCCUUGCUCCUCGCAGCCCUGAG
This is a long non-coding RNA of Tupaia belangeri chinensis (Chinese tree shrew), 439 nucleotides long. RefSeq lists it as uncharacterized. The transcript has 3 exons. NCBI's taxonomy places the organism in Eukaryota, Metazoa, Chordata, Mammalia, Scandentia, Tupaiidae. The record is from RefSeq and is a predicted model, not a curated record.